Molecule: ribosomal RNA, 416 nt
Filed under: Acanthamoeba sp.
Lineage: Eukaryota; Discosea; Longamoebia; Acanthamoebidae
Description: SSU rRNA
Rfam family: Eukaryotic small subunit ribosomal RNA (bases 1-370)
Source: RNAcentral
AAAUUAGAGUGUUCAAAGCAGGCAGAUCCAAUUUUCUGCCACCGAAUACAUUAGCAUGGGAUAAUGGAAUAGGACCCUGUCCUCCUAUUUUCAGUUGGUUUUGGCAGCGCGAGGACUAGGGUAAUGAUUAAUAGGGAUAGUUGGGGGCAUUAAUAUUUAAUUGUCAGAGGUGAAAUUCUUGGAUUUAUGAAAGAUUAACUUCUGCGAAAGCAUCUGCCAAGGAUGUUUUCAUUAAUCAAGAACGAAAGUUAGGGGAUCGAAGACGAUCAGAUACCGUCGUAGUCUUAACCAUAAACGAUGCCGACCAGCGAUUAGGAGACGUUGAAUACAAAACACCACCAUCGGCGCGGUCGUCCUUGGCGUCGGUCCUUCACGGGGCCGGCGCGAGGGCGGCUUAGCCCGGUGGCACCGGUGAA